Molecule: ribosomal RNA, 1341 nt
Filed under: Xanthomonas phaseoli pv. dieffenbachiae
Lineage: Bacteria; Pseudomonadati; Pseudomonadota; Gammaproteobacteria; Lysobacterales; Lysobacteraceae
Description: bacterial LSU rRNA
Rfam family: Bacterial large subunit ribosomal RNA
Source: RNAcentral
GGAGCAGCCCUUAAGCUGGAAUGGCUUUAGAAAAACAAUCUGGAAAGAUUGGCCAUAGAAGGUGAUAGCCCUGUAUUUAAAAGGGCCACUCCAGUGAAGACGAGUAGGGCGGGGCACGUGAAACCCUGUCUGAAUAUGGGGGGACCAUCCUCCAAGGCUAAAUACUCCUGACCGACCGAUAGUGAACCAGUACCGUGAGGGAAAGGCGAAAAGAACCCCGGAGAGGGGAGUGAAAUAGAUCCUGAAACCGUGUGCGUACAAGCAGUAGGAGCUCGCAAGAGUGACUGCGUACCUUUUGUAUAAUGGGUCAGCGACUUACUGUUCGUGGCAAGCUUAACCGUAUAGGGGAGGCGAAGGGAAACCGAGUCUGAUAAGGGCGCAUAGUCGCGGGCAGUAGACCCGAAACCGGGUGAUCUAGUCAUGGCCAGGGUGAAGGUGCCGUAACAGGUACUGGAGGCCCGAACCCACGUCUGUUGCAAAAGACGGGGAUGAGCUGUGAUUAGGAGUGAAAAGCUAAUCGAACCCGGAGAUAGCUGGUUCUCCUCGAAAGCUAUUUAGGUAGCGCCUCAUAUGUAUCCUCUCGGGGGUAGAGCACUGUUAUGGCUAGGGGGUCAUCGCGACUUACCAAACCAUUGCAAACUCCGAAUACCGAGACGGACUGUAUGGGAGACACACGGCGGGUGCUAACGUCCGUCGUGAAAAGGGAAACAACCCAGACCCACAGCUAAGGUCCCAAAUUCACUGCUAAGUGGAAAACGAUGUGGAAAGGCAUAGACAGCCAGGAGGUUGGCUUAGAAGCAGCCACCCUUUAAAGAAAGCGUAAUAGCUCACUGGUCGAGUCGGUCUGCGCGGAAGAUUUAACGGGGCUAAGCAGUGAACCGAAGCUUGGGGUGCAUAAAACUUGUUUUAUGCGCGGUAGAGGAGCGUUCCGUAAGCCUGCGAAGGUGGAUUGAGAAGUCUGCUGGAGGUAUCGGAAGUGCGAAUGCUGACAUGAGUAACGAUAAUGCGGGUGAAAAGCCCGCACGCCGAAAGCCCAAGGUUUCCUUGCGCAACGUUAAUCGACGCAGGGUUAGUCGGUCCCUAAGGCGAGGGCGAAAGCCGUAGUCGAUGGGAAGCAGGUUAAUAUUCCUGCACCUCGCGUGAGUGCGAUGGAGGGACGGAGAAGGUUAGGUGUACCGGGCGUUGGUUGUCCCGGGGAAAGGCGGUAGGUUUGGAUCUUUGGCAAAUCCGGGAUCCUUUAAGACCGAGCACCGAGACGAGCCUUUUUGGCGAAGUCACUGAUACCACGCUUCCAGGAAAAGCUCCUAAGCUUCAGCUCACGAAGACCGUACCGUAAACCGA